Non-coding RNA from Arachis ipaensis, 1057 nucleotides. NCBI's taxonomy places the organism in Eukaryota, Viridiplantae, Streptophyta, Magnoliopsida, Fabales, Fabaceae. The record is from RefSeq and is a predicted model, not a curated record.
CAGUCGCUAAAUCGGUCGCUAAUUUAAAAUAUUUACUGAAUUACUCUACCCUCACUAACCCUAACUCACCCUCACCAGUCACCAUUCUCACAUUUUCAAACAGUUACUGAGCUACACUUCUCCCCCUCAAACAGUCGUUGUCUUUUCUAAUCUUGAUGUCGUCGCCAUCGUCUUCUAGACUCGCAGUCGUCAUUGUUGUCUUUUCCAGCUUUGGCGCCAUCGCCGUUGUCUUCUAGAUUCAACAUCUCGUGAUGCUUUCUCUUUCUUCUACAACGACAAAGGUAGGGUUCUCAGCGAAGAGGAACACGCCAAAGAGAACGUCUACAUCAAGAAAAAGGAGAGAAAGAGGUUGGAGAAACAGAAGCAGCAAGUUGAGAAGGAAAAGGUAGAGAUGGACAAAAAACACUUCUGAUAAGGGUACAAAAUCUGUGGUAUUAGUAGGAUUGCUUGCUUCCUUAAAAUUAGUUAGGAGAACUUUAGCUGACCAUACCUUCUUACUUUUGGGUGCUGAAGAGGCUGGAACUGGUAUUGCAGAGUUGAUAGCACUUGAGAUAUCAAAACAGAUGCUAAAAUUGAAAGAUGAACCGAGGCUGAGAUGUUCUGCAUGAAACUCUACCACAUACAGAAGAUACAUGGUAUAGGGAAGAAGAAGAUGAAGAAUGCAAUUAGCAGAGUGUUCCAGUAGCCAUUGUAAGAUAAAAUAUUUGCAAGAAAAUUAUCUAAGAAGGGUCACAUUGUAACUUGGACUCAAGAGUUGUUGAUUCAUUAGAGAGAAUGAGGGAGGAAAGCGAAAAAGCAUACCAAUUUUUGACGUGAUGCCCUUGAGAGUUAUACCAGAGUGUAUAAGUUAAGAUAGAUACAGUUGCUUGGUCUAAGUAGAUAUUGAAUAGAGCAUAAUUAUGUUCAUGAAUUAUUUUUACCAUGUUUUAUUUAGUCUAAAUUGUGGAUCAUAAAUAUGAUGUAUUUAGGAAUUUUUAAUAUUAUUUUAAAUUCUAUAUUUCUAUGUAGACAUUGUGAAUGUUUUGGUAUUUAUUUGAAAAAUUAAUCUAUGCUUGAU